Molecule: ribosomal RNA, 468 nt
Filed under: uncultured bacterium
Lineage: Bacteria
Description: partial 16S ribosomal RNA
Rfam family: Bacterial small subunit ribosomal RNA
Source: RNAcentral
GACGAACGCUGGCGGCGCGCCUAACACAUGCAAGUCGAACGGAGGCAAGAGGAGCUUGCUUUUCUUGACUUAGUGGCGAACGGGUGAGUAACGCGUGAGUAACCUGCUCUGGAGUGGGGGACAACAGCUGGAAACGACUGCUAAUACCGCAUAAGCCCACGGAUCCGCAUGGACCUGCGGGAAAAGGAUUUAUUCGCUUCAGGAUGGACUCGAGUCCAAUUAGCUAGUUGGUGAGGUAAGGGCCCACCAAGGCGACGAUUGUUAGCCGGACUGAGAGGUUGGGCGGACACAUUGGGACUGAGCCACGGCCCAGACUCCUACGGGAGGCAGCAGUGGGGGAUAUUGCACAAUGGGGGAAACCCUGAUGCAGCGACGCCGCGUGGAGGAAGAAGGUUUUCGGAUUGUAAACUCCUGUCGUUAGGGACGAUACUGACGGUACCUAACAAGAAAGCACCGGCUAACUACGUG